RNAcentral lists this ribosomal RNA (497 nucleotides) under uncultured bacterium. RNAcentral's name for it is "partial 16S ribosomal RNA". It matches the Rfam family "Bacterial small subunit ribosomal RNA", at positions 28 to 507 of the family's 1533-position model. The record is from RNAcentral.
GAUGAACGCUGGCGGCGUGCCUAAUACGUGCAAGUAGAACGCUGAAGGAAGGAGCUUGCUCUUUCCGGAUGAGUUGCGAACGGGUGAGUAACGCGUAGGUAACCUGCCUGGUAGCGGGGGAUAACUAUUGGAAACGAUAGCUAAUACCGCAUAACAGUAGAUGUUGCAUGAUAUCUACUUAAAAGGUGCGAUUGCACCACUACCAGAUGGACCUGCGUUGUAUUAGCUAGUUGGUGAGGUAACGGCUCACCAAGGCGACGAUACAUAGCCGACCUGAGAGGGUGAUCGGCCACACUGGGACUGAGACACGGCCCAGACUCCUACGGGAGGCAGCAGUAGGGAAUCUUCGGCAAUGGACGGAAGUCUGACCGAGCAACGCCGCGUGAGUGAAGAAGGUUUUCGGAUCGUAAAGCUCUGUUGUAAGAGAAGAACGAGUGUGAGAGUGGAAAGUUCACACUGUGACGGUAUCUUACCAGAAAGGGACGGCUAACUACGUG